RNAcentral lists this unclassified non-coding RNA (345 nucleotides) under soil metagenome. RNAcentral describes it as "partial contains 5.8S ribosomal RNA, internal transcribed spacer 2, and large subunit ribosomal RNA". The stretch from base 1 to 119 matches the Rfam family "5.8S ribosomal RNA", at positions 35 to 154 of the family's 154-position model. The record is from RNAcentral.
GAUGAAGAACGCAGCGAAAUGCGAUACGUAAUGUGAAUUGCAAAUUCAGUGAAUCAUCGAGUCUUUGAACGCACAUUGCGCCCCCUGGUAUUCCGGGGGGCAUGCCUGUCCGAGCGUCAUUGCUGCCCUCAAGCACGGCUUGUGUGUUGGGCCCCGUCCUCCGAUCCCGGGGGACGGGCCCGAAAGGCAGCGGCGGUACCGCGUCCGGUCCUCGAGCGUAUGGGGCUUUGUCACCCGCUCUGUAGGCCCGGCCGGCGCUUGCCGAUCAACCCACAUUUUUUAUCCAGGUUGACCUCGGAUCAGGUAGGGAUACCCGCUGAACUGAAGCAUAUCAAAAGCGGAGGA